This 29-nucleotide small RNA is filed under the name Bombyx mori (domestic silkworm). RNAcentral describes it as "ovarian small RNA-31207". The record is from RNAcentral. Lineage: Eukaryota; Metazoa; Arthropoda; Insecta; Lepidoptera; Bombycidae.
UGAAUGUGUGUCCUAUGAGUCCAUUUGCU